UCAACGUGAUGCCUAGUCGCAAAUAGAGUGUAGUUAAGCCGGGUGUAAUUAUGAAUUAUACCGACUUUCCUAAUAUGAUUAAUAUGCCGAAUAACGUCGUCCAUGGUGGCGUUGACGCUGCACGCCACGUGAUAUGCAUAAAAGUUAACCAUGACGAGACCACCGUUUCGAGCGACCAUCUUCAGGACAUCGUCGGGAACGUUUCGGGAGGAAUUACACAGAGUGUAGGCGGCAGAGUGGCUGAAGAUGACGGGGGCUGACGAAACGUUAAUGGCGGACAUUGCGGUGUAGACUGAUGAGUGGGAUAAGUCAACUAAAAAAAAAAUUAUGUAUAUAUUUUUCAGGAAAAAUAAAGACGACUUUUCAA
Long non-coding RNA from Anthonomus grandis grandis, 367 nucleotides. RefSeq lists it as uncharacterized. The record is from RefSeq and is a predicted model, not a curated record. NCBI's taxonomy places the organism in Eukaryota, Metazoa, Arthropoda, Insecta, Coleoptera, Curculionidae. The transcript has 2 exons.